Molecule: ribosomal RNA, 380 nt
Filed under: uncultured eukaryote
Lineage: Eukaryota
Description: partial 18S ribosomal RNA
Rfam family: Eukaryotic small subunit ribosomal RNA
Source: RNAcentral
CAAUAGCGUAUAUUAAAGUUGUUGCAGUUAAAAAGCUCGUAGUUGGAUUUGUGGCGUACGGUGUGUUCCGGGCACUUGUUGUCUGAGUAACCUGCUGUUGCCAUCCUUGGGUGGAACCUGUGUGGCAUUAGGUUGUCGUGCAGGGGAUGCCCAUCAUUUACUGUGAAAAAAUUAGAGUGUUCAAAGCAGGCUUAUGCCGUUGAAUAUAUUAGCAUGGAAUAAUGAGAUAGGACUUUUUUGCUAUUUUGUUGGUUUGCGCAAAGAGGUACUGAUUAAUAGGGACAGUUGGGGGUAUUCGUAUUCCAUUGUCAGAGGUGAAAUUCUUGGAUUUUUGGAAGACGAACUACUGCGAAAGCAUUUACCAAGGAUGUUUUCAUUAA